This 473-nucleotide ribosomal RNA is filed under the name uncultured bacterium. RNAcentral's name for it is "bacterial SSU rRNA". It matches the Rfam family "Bacterial small subunit ribosomal RNA", at positions 28 to 490 of the family's 1533-position model. The record is from RNAcentral.
GAUGAACGCUAGCGGCAGGCUUAAUACAUGCAAGUCGUGGGGCAGCAGGUUUGUAGCAAUACAGAUGCUGGCGACCGGCAAACGGGUGCGGAACACGUACAGAACCUUCCUUUGAGCGGGGAAUAGCCCAGAGAAAUUUGGAUUAAUACCCCAUAGUAUAAUGAAGUGGCAUCACUUUAUUAUUAAAGAUUUAUCACUCGAAGAUGGCUGUGCGGCUGAUUAGGUAGUUGGCGGGGUAAAAGGCCCACCAAGCCUGCGAUCAGUAACUGGUGUGAGAGCACGACCAGUCACACGGGCACUGAGACACGGGCCCGACUCCUACGGGAGGCAGCAGUAAGGAAUAUUGGUCAAUGGAGGCAAACUCUGAACCAGCCAUGCCGCGUGGAGGAUGAAGGUCCUCUGGAUUGUAAACUUCUUUAUAUGGGACGAAAAAAAGGCUUUUCUAAGUCGUCUGACGGUACCAUAUGAAUAAG